This 708-nucleotide ribosomal RNA is filed under the name uncultured bacterium. RNAcentral describes it as "bacterial SSU rRNA". It matches the Rfam family "Bacterial small subunit ribosomal RNA", at positions 61 to 759 of the family's 1533-position model. The record is from RNAcentral.
GUCGAGGGGCAGCAUGAACUUAGCUUGCUAAGUUUGAUGGCGACCGGCGCACGGGUGAGUAACACGUAUCCAACCUGCCGAUGACUCGGGGAUAGCCUUUCGAAAGAAAGAUUAAUACCCGAUGGCAUAGUUCUUCCGCAUGGUGGAACUAUUAAAGAAUUUCGGUCAUCGAUGGGGAUGCGUUCCAUUAGGUUGUUGGCGGGGUAACGGCCCACCAAGCCUUCGAUGGAUAGGGGUUCUGAGAGGAAGGUCCCCCACAUUGGAACUGAGACACGGUCCAAACUCCUACGGGAGGCAGCAGUGAGGAAUAUUGGUCAAUGGACGAGAGUCUGAACCAGCCAAGUAGCGUGAAGGAUGACUGCCCUAUGGGUUGUAAACUUCUUUUAUACGGGAAUAAAGUGAGGCACGUGUGCCUUUUUGUAUGUACCGUAUGAAUAAGGAUCGGCUAACUCCGUGCCAGCAGCCGCGGUAAUACGGAGGAUCCGAGCGUUAUCCGGAUUUAUUGGGUUUAAAGGGAGCGUAGGCGGACGCUUAAGUCAGUUGUGAAAGUUUGCGGCUCAACCGUAAAAUUGCAGUUGAUACUGGGUGUCUUGAGUACAGUAGAGGCAGGCGGAAUUCGUGGUGUAGCGGUGAAAUGCUUAGAUAUCACGAAGAACUCCGAUUGCGAAGGCAGCUUGCUGGACUGUAACUGACGCUGAUGCUCGAAAG